CAGUCGCCACGGGAACACGAAGGGGGCUAGCGUUGCUCGGAAUGACUGGGCGUAAAGGGCGCGUAGGCGGAUGGCACAGUCAGAUGUGAAAUUCCCGGGCUUAACCUGGGGGCUGCAUUUGAUACGUGUUGUCUAGAGUGAGGAAGAGGGUUGUGGAAUUCCCAGUGUAGAGGUGAAAUUCGUAGAUAUUGGGAAGAACACCGGUGGCGAAGGCGGCAACCUGGUCCUUGACUGACGCUGAGGCGCGAAAGCGUGGGGAGCAAACAGGAUUAGAUACCCCCGUAGUCCCUGUCUCUUAUAC
RNAcentral lists this ribosomal RNA (301 nucleotides) under uncultured bacterium. RNAcentral's name for it is "partial 16S ribosomal RNA". It matches the Rfam family "Bacterial small subunit ribosomal RNA", at positions 509 to 807 of the family's 1533-position model. The record is from RNAcentral.